Non-coding RNA from Pelobates cultripes (western spadefoot toad), 359 nucleotides. The record is from the annotation of a GenBank genome assembly. NCBI's taxonomy places the organism in Eukaryota, Metazoa, Chordata, Amphibia, Anura, Pelobatidae.
GAACGGAUCAAAAACAACCCUCUUUACAAUAUGUAAAGAAGACUCUUUUCUGGUGGACUCUUGGUGGCUGCAUGAAGGUGGCACUCAUCUAUUUACGAACAGCCAAGAACGGCAAAAUAUUACAAUUAAACCUGUUCAGGAAAAUAGCAGUCUUGAAUUAAUUAUGUUGACGUUUAAGAUCUCCUGAAUCUGAAUGAGUCUCUGGGAAUGCAAGUACUAGCUGCAACAGAUGGUUAAUUGUUUCGUGGGCAGAUGGGGCCUAAUGGGAUUCUCCAACUUGAAAAAAAUAUCAAAUGUCUAACUGGAAACAUUCUCCAAGUCACCUAUAUUGUCAUUCUGGACAUUUUGACCUUAAAUUU